AUGCUUAGCCGUAAAACAUACACUCACACCACAAAUCGCCAGGGAAUUACGAGCCCAAACUUAAAACCCAAAGGACUUGACGGUGUCCCACCCACCUAGAGGAGCCUGUUCUAUAAUCGAUACCCCCCGAUAAACCUCACCACUUCUAGCCUAUCAGCCUGUAUACCUCCGUCGUAAGCUUACCAUGUGAACGAAACUAGUGAGCCAAAGGAUCCACCACCAAUACGUCAGGUCAAGGUGCAGCUUACGAACUGGAAAGAAAUGGGCUACAAUUUCUAUAGUAGAACAAACGAAAGACUGCAUGAAACACAGUCACUGAAGGCGGAUUUAGCAGUAAAAAGAAAAUAGAGAGUCCUUUUUAACAAGGCACUGGGACGCGUACACA
RNAcentral lists this ribosomal RNA (385 nucleotides) under Chiasmocleis hudsoni (Hudson's humming frog). RNAcentral describes it as "Syncope hudsoni (Hudson's humming frog) 12S ribosomal RNA". It matches the Rfam family "Bacterial small subunit ribosomal RNA", at positions 792 to 1389 of the family's 1533-position model. Lineage: Eukaryota; Metazoa; Chordata; Amphibia; Anura; Microhylidae. The record is from RNAcentral.